This 367-nucleotide long non-coding RNA is filed under the name Dromaius novaehollandiae (emu). Its description in RNAcentral is "lncRNA (ENSDNVG00000008568.1)". The record is from RNAcentral. Lineage: Eukaryota; Metazoa; Chordata; Aves; Casuariiformes; Dromaiidae.
AAUUGCAGCUCAUCAAUCAAUCGCUCCAGCCUUUGGACAUCCUGUACACACAGAAGGUCUGUUUAUUCUGAGGUUUCCUCCAAAGUCCAACCGAAUAACCUGGUUUCAGCCUUUGGAUCGCUGUGGACUACAGCAGCAUUGAGGCGUAGGUCACAGACAACAUSGURCGUGUGGGCACUGGCGCAGACUCCUCCAGAGCAACUGCUAGGACUCUGUAAUCUUUGAUCCUGCGGUAUUGUCACUAGUUGUACCCAAGUGUUGCGUGUGCAUGUGAGCCUCAUUAUGCCGAACAAAUGUAUAAGGAACACACUCUCCUAAGGAGCCUAUAGUAGGACAUCAAUAUUGAUUUUUCUCCUCUGCUGCUGUG